AGUGCUCAGCAGGCAGAACUGUCACACUGCGCACCUGGGACCUGACUGGAAGCAAAGAGAAGCUAUUCUUCAGAACCCAGCAAAACACCUUCCUUGGACUUUAUAGGCACCUCAGUGUUUGCUGACUGAGCCAGGCAACUGAUCAACAUAUUUCAUUAUUUUCCUGAAGAAUUACCACUACCCUUUGAGGUGAACCCCUAAGCUGGGAUGGACUGUCGCAUGGCCGUCGGUGCCUGUGUCUCCCCGUCUCCAAGCCUCCUCUCUCCCUCCCAGUGCCCCGUCAUCUUCAUCCCACUAGAAGCCCAAGCCUCUUCUAGUGACCCUACAUUCUCAGAGCCCCGAAGCAGAGAACAGAAGCUGCUUCUACAGCCGCUCCAGACCCAGAGGCCAGACCUCACUUGUGAGCUGUUUAC
Long non-coding RNA from Homo sapiens (human), 413 nucleotides. Ensembl annotates it as long intergenic non-protein coding RNA 1077. The record is from Ensembl. NCBI's taxonomy places the organism in Eukaryota, Metazoa, Chordata, Mammalia, Primates, Hominidae.